This 15550-nucleotide long non-coding RNA is filed under the name Triticum aestivum (bread wheat). Its description in RNAcentral is "long non-coding RNA (TAES_LNC011104)". Lineage: Eukaryota; Viridiplantae; Streptophyta; Magnoliopsida; Poales; Poaceae. The record is from RNAcentral.
UUCCGCCCCUGUUUUUCUCUUUUUGUCGUGCAGCACAAAUUGGGAGCCCUCGCCAUGGCCACCAAUAUCCAUCUACGGGUACAUCUUCCUCCCUUACCAGUUGCUCAAUAUUCUAUCCUAAUGACGCGUUUAUUAAUUCCAAAUCCAUGGACUCUUGCUUCCUACCGAUUCAAUUUCUUCAUGUGCCAGAUUCAGGGGGCAAGUACCUCACUCAUCUUGAUCUGCCAUCUCAUUUUUCUUUGUCAGGUUUGAGGAAGAUUUGGAUAACUAGGUUGAUUUAUGUGAAAAUUCCAAUAUUUUAAAUAGCACGCUAUUUUGCCGUUAUAACGCGGUUAUAGCAUAUUUGGAAGGAAGACGUUAUGUUUUGGCAAAAUCGGACGCUACGGCGCUAAUCGCGUAAUUAGCGCGCUACACACGCUAUAACGUUGUAACGUUGUAACGUUACAACGUGCAGACCAUGCAAAACUAAAAUAAGCACAGCCCAGCAGGCCAAAACCAACCCACGACCACUAGCUUUCUCACUCCUUUUAUCAGAUUCUCCCACGAGACCUAACCAGCAGGCCCAGGUGGCUGCCCCGGUGGCUGUUGAUGUUAGAGACUCUUAAAACUAUGGCUGUUGAUGUUUGAGACUUAUUUUGAUGUGCUGGAUUUGGCCCUUAUGCAUAUAUUGCUUGCUCCUAUGAAAAAUUUAGUUGCUUAAAUACUUUAUUUCUAGAUAUAUUUGAUUUUUUUGCAAACGCUAUUUUGAAAUAUAGCAUGCUAUUAGCGCGCUAUAACUUGUGUAGCAUUUAGAGAAGGGCUUCGCUAUAUUUUGUAGCACGCUAUUUAAAAUAUUGGAAAAUUCUGUACACUCCGCGCAAAGUUGUUUGCCUGCAGACCAUUGCUACAGAUGCAACCAAAUUAAUUUACCAUGUAUGUUCUACACAUUUUCAUUUUAAUGGUUUUAUGUCAUAUGGAGCAAUGUUUUCCUUAUGAUGAGAUUGUGUUGGUUGUAAAUAGGCAUCACAAAUGGGCAUAGUUGAAUUAAAGUUUUAGGUAUGAGCUACUUCAUUAUGUAUUUUGGCUACUGCUCCCUGCCUUAUGUAGAUUCAGUAUAUUCCUAUCUUUAUGCCAAGUGAAUAUUCUCUCUGCCUUGACUAAUCCUAGGAUGCAGCAUGUGCUUGAUGAUCCAGCUACAGAUUGGACAAGAGCUGUUUUUUUUGGUCGGUGAUGGUUUUUCUCUGUUUUGUGAAGAUGUGAAAAAUAUUUAGCAGGUGUUUUUUUUUGGUUAUGAUUUCAAGCAUGCAAUGCAAUAUCUAGCAGUCCCAUUGAAAGAACUAUUUACUUUCCCCUUGCAAAAUGGUCAUUGUAUUUGACAGGUAAGAAUAAACACAAUUUAGCAUCCAGUAGAUGUGAACCCUAUUUCACUUUUGCCAAAUGUCUUUAGAGUUUCAGUCACUCACGUUAAUUAACCAUUUUUUAUCUCCAUAUAGGGCUAUAUUUGUCAGCAUGUUCAACUUGUGAAACCGACAUGCUAACAUCCUUCUUUAUCAAUGAAAAUUGUGAAGCUUCUCCAAGACUUUUGAAGAAAAAAAAGGUUAGUGUACAUGUUUCUUAAUUUUAAAGAAUUGCCGCCGACCGCAAGUGUAUUGGUGGUCAUCUCAAGAUCUCACCCAUGGAACAGCAUCAGUUUUCUAUAUCGCUGAUCACCUAUGCCUUAAGAAUUCCAGUUGAUGUAUUCUCGCCGUAUUAGUUCUCAUGCUGGACAUUCAACUUUGGUCUAUCUUCUUUCAUGAUUAAACAUUCUGGGCCGUAUACGACAGUUGAUACAAUCCUAUGUUGUCCUGAACUAACUCCGGUGUAUAGGAACGUUGAUCAUGGGAGAAUGCAGCAGAACUGAAAAAUAAUUAGCAUACUUACACUUAGCCACCACUUACCAGCUUAAACCUGAAUGUCUUAAGUAUUUUUUGCAGUUUAACAUGGCACAUACGUACUAUAUGCAGUUUAACAUGGUUCUCUUACUUCAUUAUUGGUUGUGAAGGUCACAACUACGUACACCUGGCAAAUGAACUUGGUGGGUAAUAUAGAUCUUCCAAUUAACAAAAUUUGUUGAAUCUAAAUGGAAACUGAAUAUAGUCCAUAUUUUACAUUACUUAUUAUUAUGUGGUUUUCUAGAUUUUUUAGGUGUGUGUAGUGAUGACUUCCUCUAAAUAUUGCUCACCAUUUUUGUCCUUCUUUUGGUCUCUCACACAUGUAAUCUUAAAGGACUGGAUUGACACCAAGGCAUAUCCGUUUCACCACAUUAGCCUCCCAAUGGCAUUCACUGUGGAAUAUAUAGUGUAGUAACUCUUCAUUAGAUCGUAUUGAUCUUUGUCCUUAAACGUUGACGUGAGAACCAAACAACAGUGCCAUACUAUCAUUGCUAUUAAUUUUGCACACUAAGUGGCUCCGUAGGGUUGCCAAUUUAUCUUUGUUCACAGCCUUGAGCUAUCCAUUUUGAUGCUAUGUAUUCUCACAUGUUAUUUAUUUUUUAAAGAAAAUUCAUAGCAUACUUUAGCGCAGCAACGCGGGGUAUCACCUAGUCUAUAUAAGUGGCACAAGUAUUUCUUCUCCUCGGCACAAACAAGCACUCAGGCCAUGAUGACGCGACUAUAUUUUCUACCAACCAUACUGCUGGUGAUCCAUUUGAUCUUGAUUCUAACAUCCGGCACCCUAGUUCGUCGUGGUUGUAAGUAAUAUACCCCUUUAAUUAUAUUUUCGUGAGUGAAUUCACAAUAAUACUUAGAUUGUUUUUUUUUCUUUUGUGGGUUGCAUUCCAGUUUUUACCUCUUCUUUGUGUAUUUGCGACAGUAUGUACCUUAUUAAGCUUUUUCAGUCACAUUUUACCAUGGAGUUGUUAGAUUGUGUCAAGUGGAGCACAAUUUAACUUUGAUUGCCUGAGUUCACUUGUGAGACCAACGUGGCUGAUGGCACAUACUCCAACUUGGAGGCAUAUGGCCUAUCGCUAGCUGUGGAAAGAAGCUUCCCUCUCACCCAUCUUAUUCUCUUCAAAAAUAAAAUUUUUGGUUGGGCUUCUAGAAUAAGCUAGGGAGGGGGCAACUUAUUUCCACAGCCAGACCAUAAGCUCCAAAAGAAUUGGCCCUAAUUUUAUCUGAACGGAUUGAGAGGAUCCCCCCUACCUGCCUAACUUAACACACAUUCCCGUCUGCUUGACUUGCAACCCCGCCCAUGUUAUGAAUUUGGCGAUCGUUGAUGCUAGACUUGUUGGCACUUCACCCCUCCUCCUUGUGGUUCCCUGUUCAUCCCCAACCCAUAGUUUGUUCGCUCAUGGUGUGGGUUUCACUUGAUCGCACCACCAAAUAUGUAUACUUGGGUUUUUUGGAUGAUGGUCUAGUCGUUGCCAUGAAGGACAUACCUUGCUGGAAUUUUGAGUUGGCAUACAAGUCAGUACCNNNNNNNNNNNNNNNNNNNNNNNNNNNNNNNNNNNNNNNNNNNNNNNNNNNNNNNNNNNNNNNNNNNNNNNNNNNNNNNNNNNNNNNNNNNNNNNNNNNNNNNNNNNNNNNNNNNNNNNNNNNNNNNNNNNNNNNNNNNNNNNNNNNNNNNNNNNNNNNNNNNNNNNNNNNNNNNNNNNNNNNNNNNNNNNNNNNNNNNNNNNNNNNNNNNNNNNNNNNNNNNNNNNNNNNNNNNNNNNNNNNNNNNNNNNNNNNNNNNNNNNNNNNNNNNNNNNNNNNNNNNNNNNNNNNNNNNNNNNNNNNNNNNNNNNNNNNNNNNNNNNNNNNNNNNNNNNNNNNNNNNNNNNNNNNNNNNNNNNNNNNNNNNNNNNNNNNNNNNNNNNNNNNNNNNNNNNNNNNNNNNNNNNNNNNNNNNNNNNNNNNNNNNNNNNNNNNNNNNNNNNNNNNNNNNNNNNNNNNNNNNNNNNNNNNNNNNNNNNNNNNNNNNNNNNNNGGCUCGGUUGAAAAUCCUAGCCGCCGCCGCCGGACACGUCCAUCCUCCCCCUCCUCUCCGCCACCGCUAGAGGAGGUCGCCAGGCAAAGCCCCAGGCGGUUGAUGGUGGCGGCGGAGGCUCUCUUCCCUCCCGCGCCAGAUCGGGUGAGGCAGGUCACCCAUGGCGCCGGGGCGCUCUCCCCUGAUCUGCGUCACGACGGUGCAUUAGGCGACGGCGCAAGGCAGCGGCAUGGUGCUGGGCGGGGGAGGCGAAGCUGCGACUCCGAGGAAGAUCUGGUGGUGCCGACCGUUCGAUGGGCUCGCGGGCAUGGCGGCCUUGGUCGCGGUGGCCGACGGCUCGGCCUGUCGGUGGCGGCUGGAUCCCGGGACGGCCGCUGUCGGUGUCAAAACCGGCGGAUCUCGGGUAGGGGGUCCCGAACUAUGCGUCUAGACGGAUGGUAACAGAAGACAAGGGACACGAUGGUUUUACCCAGGUUCGGGCCCUCUCGAUGGAGGUAAAACCCUACUCCUGCUUGAUUAAUAUUGAUGAUAUGGUAGUACAAGAGUAGAUCUACCACGAGAUCGGAGUGGCUAAACCCUAGAAGCUAGCCUAUGGUAUGAUUGUUGUUCGUCCUACGGACUAAAACGCUCUGGUUUAUAUAGACACCAGAGAGGGCUAGGGUUACACAGAGUCGGUUACAAUGGGAGGAGAUCUUCAUAUCGUAUCGCCAAGCUUGCCUUCCACGCCAAGGAAAGUCCCAUCCGGACACGGGACGGAGUCUUUAAUCUUGUAUCUUCAUAGACCAGGAGUCCGGCCAAAGGUUUUAGUCCGGCCAUCCGGACACCCCCUAAUCCAGGACUCCCUCAGUAGCCCCUGAACCAGACUUCAAUGACGACGAGUCCGGCGCGCAAGUUGUCUUCGGCAUUGCAAGGCGGGUUCCUCCUCCGAAUAUUUCAUAGAAGAUGUUGAACACCAGGGUAGUGUCCGGCUCUGCAAAAUAAGUUCCACAUUCCACCGUAGAGAGAAUAAUAUUUGCGUUAAUCGGAUCCGUUGACGUAUUCCGCGGCGUGACAUCAUGCCACGGCCAGGCUUUUAUUCAUUUUAUUGUUCAACCUCAGCGCGUUUAGCGAGGCGGUUUCCUUGGCACGUCUUGUCAAAGUAGAGAUCGUGUCCCCUUAUUCCGGGAUUCUCAUCAAUACGGGUGUGGGUAACCCAACCGCGCCAUUAACCGCGGCGCUUGGGAGAUAAGCGAGUUUUAUUAGGCCGGUGGGGGGCUUGCAGUUUUGGCCGCCCAUAUAAGGGGAUAAGAAUCCGCCCUUUCCAUUCACGCCUUCUUCCUCCUCUACUUAUUCGUCCCUGCGUGCUCGAGCUCCAGCGCCCAAGCCCGCACUUCCCACCUCAACCUUCUCCAACCAUGUCCGGAGCGGGAGGUAGAUGGAUGGCCUCCUCCGUCACGGAGGGGCACAUAAAAAAACUGAGGAAGGCCGGAUACUUGUCUAACGACAUCGUGCACCGGCUUCCAGAUGUGGGGCAACUCAUCCCCACGCCCAGGCCCCAUGAGAGGGUUGUUUUUCUUCCCAUUUCCUCCACGGACUGGGUUUUCCUCUUCACCCGUUCAUCCGGGGGCUCAUGUUCUACUACGGCCUGGACUUCCACGAUCUGGCCCUGAACUUCAUCCUCAAUAUCUCAGCGUUUAUUGUCGUGUGUGAGGCCUUCUUCCGCAUCCAGCCUCACUUUGGCCUAUGGCUGAAGAUCUUCAGCGUCAAGCCGAAGGUUGUGAAAGGCCGACAAGCGGAAUGCGGAGGUGCCAUGGUGGGCAAGAUAGCCAACGUCACCUGGAUCGAGGGUGCCUUCGUGGAAACCAUCAAAGGGUGGCAAUCGGGGUGGUUUUAUAUCACCGAGCCGCGUGACCCUAAGUGGGCAGCGGCCCCCGAAUUUCGAUCCGGCAUCCCCAUCCGUCUCACAUCCUGGAAAGAGACGGGCCUGUCGUUGGGCAAUCCGGAAGAGGUGACCGGACUCCAAACCUGCGUCCGAGACCUGGUGACCAAGAAGGUCAAGCUUGUCAACGUGGUCCAGGUCAUGCUCUUCCGCUGGAUCCUCCCGUGUCAACGGCGGGACUUCAAUUUGUGGGAGUUUGAUCCGGCCCAGCACCAGACUCUACCCCGGCUCUUCGAAACAAACCACGAGGAUGCCUGGAAGGUGCUUUUCAAGAGUUUCGAGGUGUCCCCUCCCGUCACCGAGGAUCGCGGAUUCUGCGCCAAACAUCAAGUCUUCGAAGUAAGCUUACAUUUAGUCCCUUACGGGAUACCCGAAUUUCAUAGUGUUACUUUAUGUGGGAUCUAAACUCCCAUUCCUUUGACAGGACUGGAAGAGGACAUCCGGACAGUUUGACUGUCCGGCUCCUUUGCCCGAAGGCCUAGCAGACGCACAAUUAGCAAAGCUACUCGUUCCGGCACCUCACGUGGUGCCGGAGAAGAAGGCCAAGGAGAAGGCCGCGGGGACCCGAAAGAGUUCCCGGUGCCCGGUGGCGUCGGAUUUGCCCGACAACCCCAACGCACCCUCCGCCUCCGAAGACGAGGAGGAGGAGGAAGAAGAAGAAGAUGCCUCUCCCCCUCCAAUGGGGGGAGGAAAGAAAAGAAAGGCCGCCCCAACUAGGGAAGCCGGAGGGUCCAAGAAGGGGAAGACCCUUCUGCCGGACUACGCCCCCGACACCGAAGACGGCGGGGGGAGGGGGGAAUGGCCAUCCAGGGUCAAGCCCCUGGCAAAACCGUAAGUGUCCGGCUACCCGAAUGACUUAUUGCACUCCUUUAUUAUUCGAUAGCUUCUAACGCCGAAUCUAAUCAUGCAGUCCGCCCAGAGCUCAGCUUGGCGAUUCGUCGAGCGGCUCUCUGAAUUCGUCGGACAUGAAUAGCGCUUCACUUCCGACGGCCUCCUCCCCUCUCCCUACAGACGACGCUGAGGUGGAGUCCCGCAGGGGACAAAACCAGGAGGAGGUGGUCCUGGAGGCGCCACAAGGCGACCGUUCGGACUCCAGGCCCAAAGGGGGUAAAGCUCCAGAGGAAUCUAAGUCCGGCCCCGGGCCGGACACUGCUCCGGAACCAUCAGCGGUUCCAGAGUCCGAUAGGCGGCGCCUUCAUAAGAAGGGCAAGCCUGCGACGCCGGUGACUUCCGUCCACCCGGAAGCGCCGGACAAUUUACUGGAGGCGCUUAAUGGCGCCUCCAUCGACGAGGAACACUGCGCUGUUAUGAGUGCGGUGAUUCAGAAGGUUCAGUCCGCCAAGAGCGGGCUGACGGAAGCCUGCAGAAGCCUGUUAACGGGCUUUGAGGUAUGUGUUCAAAAACAUAUAUAAAAAAUAUUACCGCAUAGAUAGUAACCCCUGAUGCUCAGUUCGGUGUUCGGAAAGAAAAGCCGAGCUGAGGAUCUAAAAAGAUAUAUGCAGGAGUUUAAUAGAAAUAUGUUAAUAUGGGAAUGCAGGCUGCGCUGCUGACCUCUGCCGCACUGACUGCGGAGGUCAAUGCAUUGAAGGAAAGCCUCGAGCGGUCCGAGAGCGAGCUCGGCCGUGCCAAGAAGCAGCUCGAGGAUAAAGAGGGUACAUAGUACCUCCUGUAAAUGUAUAUAGAAAUACUUGGUUGCAAAAUAAGAACAUGACCAACGUUAAUGUUGCAGGAGCCACGACCGAGGUGGCGACCCUGAAAGAGGCGGUCUCCGAGGCUGAAAAGAGUGCGGCCUUGGAGCGCACCGAGUGAGAGAAGCAGGAGGCGGGUGGUGGAGGUGCGGCAAGAGCUCCAGGCUCUCGUGGAAAAACACGAGAGUUUGGAGCGUGACUCGAAGACUUGAGAGUCCGAGCUUGCCGUGGCUCUUGAGAGUGCCAAGACUGCUAAGGCCGAAGCCCAGAAGGCCCUUCAGGAGAUCAAGGCGAUGAAGAAGAUAGCGGCGGGUAAGGCAUUCUUUAUGCAAAGCAAAAAUAUAAAAGUUAAUUAUCUGCUACUUACCCGAAUCCGGAGCUCUCCAGGAGCGUUCGCCGAUCUGCCCCAUAGUGUGUCUGAUGCCGCCGCAUACUACCGAGCCGAAGAGGGGAGCUCGACGGAAAAAGUGUUUUGGUCUCAGUAUGCUGAGGCCGAACAUCCGGUACCCCUGAGCGACCAGCUGAAGCAGCUGGUCGAGCUCCACAAUAUGGCCGAACAGGCCAUGAAGGGCCUCAUAGCUCGGCUGUGGCCUGGAGAAGUCAUGCCUGGGAGCUACUUCGGUCUGGUGCGGCGGCUGGUGGACGCGUAUCCGUGGAUUGAGGUCGUCAAGCGCUCCGUUUGUAUUGAAGGUGCCCGUCGGGCCCUUGCCUAUGCUAAGGUGCACUGGGGCAAGCUAGAUGCGGAGAAGCUGUUGAUGGACGCGCCACCGCCGGGAAAGGAGUAUCGUACGCCCGAGAUGUAUUAUAAUGGCGUUCUGAAGGGUGCCCGCCAUAUAGCGGAUGAGUGCUCCAAAGAUGUAAUUUUUGAGUAGACUCGCAUUUGUUAUCCUGUACGCUGAAGCUUUGUUCAUAUGCAUUAAGCAACGCUUGUUAAUUUAAAAUAUUACCUUCUGUGCGGCCGUUUAUCAAAUCUGAGAGAUGCAAGUCGUCGGCUUCGACCCCCAUGCAACGAGUGCUGGUGUUUUCGGGAUAAACCUGAGCGCUCUUGUUCCCAUUCUUGGGUCCAUCUAGGGAGGCGUUCAGCACAACGAACCAGCCCGUCGGACUUAUAAUGCUUUAUCACUCUCACUUAGCCAUAGAAUUCUAUAAUUUUAAAUUUCGGUGAAGCCCCUAGUAUUCGGAAGACCGAGUUAGGGGCGCUAUCCAUGCCUAGGCCGGAUAAGUCCGGUUCCUCGCUCGAAGCGCCAUAAGUCUUCAAGGACUCGAAGAAACCACGUGAACAUCGACCGGUCUCUCGCACUAUCAUGACAGUCAGUUUUAGCUUUCUCUACUGAGGUGUUAACCCAGCUCAACUGGGGCACAAUCGCAGUAGUUCUCCCGGCGCUACCUUAGCCAACAAUGCGGAACGUAAGGUACCAAAACAUGGGAGCCGGGCAAACCCAACUAUUGACCAAAGACAUGAUUCGGAGCCGAUGCAUAUAGUGCUAUAAGUUCGGGGUGCCGCACUCGUGAGAGUGUUCGGUCUUCUCACACCAUGUUAUGGGGUGUUGUAAGCCCCUGGUGUAUUGUCCGCACCAAAGUGUACGGUUGCAGAAUGUCAUGACUGAACAUAUUUGUAUAUAAAAAUAGGUAAGUACAAUAAUAGGUAAGAGCUAUAUAUUGUUUACUAAAAAAGGGCUGCUGCGAAAGCAGAACGAUACAAGAAGUGCGGUAAGCAAGAGAUGGGAGUAUUUGACAUAUUCCCCUCUAGGGGCAAGCUGCGGGAUUGUAAGUAAAACAUGUAUUAAACUCGUUAUAGAGACCACCUAGACUUUUGAAGUGGCUUGCUCCCUCCCUGGCUGUUGCAUCGUGGGUUCGGCGAGUGUAUUGCCGGACAGGCCUUCCGAAUAGUUGGGUCCUGAAAGUGUGUAAAAAGGAAAACGGGUGCGGUUGAGCCGCAUUCUGGGCGUGCCAUUGUUGUGCCCUUCCCCUUAUGCCCAUGAUAUCUCUAAGGCGUAAUUAUGUACGCGUGGUACCAGUAUCGCCGUUUGGCGGGGGCUGGGGUUGGGGCCGCACUGCUAUGCUUGCUCGGAACGUGCCAGCCGGAUUUGUUGUAGGUUACUUCGGGCUCGCUUGACGUUGUCCGGACGUUUGACGUCUGGAUUGGAGAACUGCCUUGAGAGGCUACUCUGUACUUCCGCUGCUAGGGCCGCCAUGUGCUCCUCCGUUUGGAGAGAGCGUUCGGUGUUUCCGUUUACCGUGAUGACUCCGCGAGGUCCUGGAAUCUUGAGCUUGAGAUAUGCGUAGUGCGGCACCGCAUUGAAUUUUGCAAAUGCGGUUCGUCCAAGCAGGGCGUGAUAGCCGCUGCGAAAUGGGAAUAUGUCGAAGAUUAACUCCUCGCUCCGGAAGUUACCCGGGGAUCCGAAGACCACUUCGAGUGUAACCGAGCCUGUACAGCUGGCCUCUACCCCUGGUAUGACACCUUUGAAGGUUGUCUUUGUGGGUUUAAUCCUUGAAGGAUUGAUGCCCAUUUUUCGCACUGUGUCCUGGUAAAGCAGGUUCAAGCUACUGCCGCCGUCCAUUAGGACUCUGGUAAGGUGAAAUCCGUCGAUAAUUGGGUCUAGGACCAGUGCGGCGAAUCCGCCGUGACGGAUGCUGGUGGGAUGGUCCCUUCGAUCGAAGGUGAUCGGGCAGGAGGACCAUGGGUUGAACUUUGGGGCGAUUGGCUCCAGCGCAUAGACGUCCUUGAGAGCACGCUUCCGCUCCCUUUUGGGGAUGUGGGUUGCGUAUAUCAUGUUCACCGUCCGAACUUGUGGGGGAAUUCCCUUCUGUCCUUUGUUGUUCGGUGGCCGGGGCCCCUCCUCGUCAUCGCUAUGUAGCCCCUUGUCUCUGGUCUCGGCACUUAACUUGCCUGCCUGCUUGAACACCCAACAAUCCCUGUUGGUGUGAUUGGCUGGCUGUUCGAGGGUCCCGUGUAUCUGGCACGAGCGAUCGAGUAUCCGGUCUAAGCUGGAUGGGCCCUGAGGGUUUCUUUUGAAUGGCUUUUUCCGCUGACCCGGUUUAGAGCCUCUGAAUCCGGCGUUGACUGCCGUAUCUUCAGUGUUGUCACCGUUAAUGCGGCGCUUAUGCUUGUUGCGACGUGACCUGCCGUUGUUAUCCUUGGUAUCCAAAUUGCCGGGCUCUUGGUUAUGUUAUUGCUACGAGCUAGCCAGCUGUCUUCUCCUGCACAGAAGUGGGUCACGAGUGUCGUGAGGGCUGCCAUAGAUUUUGGCUUUUCAUGUCCUAGGUGCCGGGCAAGCCAUUCAUCUCGGAUGUUGUGCCUGAAGGCUGCAAGGGCCUCGGCGUCCGGACAAUCGACUAUUUAGUUUUUCUUGGUUAGGAACCGUGUCCAGAAUUGUCUGGCCGAUUCCUCUGGCUGUUGGAUUAUGUGGCUUAGGUCAUCGGCGUCUGGUGGUCGCACAUACGUGCCUUGGAAGUUGUCAAGGAAUGCGGAUUCCAGGUCCUCCCAACAACUAAUUGACUCUGCUGGCAGGCUGUUAAGCCAAUGUCGAGCUGGUCCUUUAAGCUUGAGCGGGAGGUAUUUGAUGGCGUGUAGAUCAUCACCACGGGCCAUGUGGAUAUGAAGGAGAUAAUCCUCGAUCCAUACCGCAGGAUCUGUUGUGCCAUCGUAUGAUUCGAUGUUUACGGGUUUGAAGCCCUCGGGGAUUUGAUGAUCCAUUACUUUGUCUGUAAAGCAUAGUGGGUGUGCGGCGCCCCUGUACUGGGCUAUAUCACGACGCAGCUCGGACGAGCUUGGUCUAUUGUAUUCGGCCGGGCCAUACUUAUUAUGUCCGGCGUGAUGGCUAGCGUCACGUGAAGCGGGGCGCCCAUGCAAUCCGUAGAUCGAUCUUGUUUGCCUUGCCUUAUUCUCCAAGAUGUCUCGCAGGUCUGUUGCGUCUCCCCGUACUCUGGUAUGUUUUGAGCGGUGUCGGGGUGCGGCUUGGGUUGAGGGCCUGAAGGCCUCUCUAUCGCAGCCACGGGGUGGCCGAUCGGGCGCAUCGCACGCUGGUGAUGUAGGUUUAGUUGCUUCCUCCUCAAGUUGAGGUAGCAGCCUGCGCUUUGGGUAGCUCUUGGAUGGGCGUUCUAGUUUAUACUCUUCGGCCAGGGGCGUAGCUUUCGAUCUGCUCCAGAUGGCCAAACGAGUCAGCCCGCAGUGCGAAGCCGCCAAAUACGAAGAUCUGUUCGGGAAGAAAAGUCUCGUCCUGGACCGCAUCGCGAUUGACAAGCGAAGAAGCCAUCGGGCCUAAAGGCGACGACACAGAGGAUCUCUCAAUGAAAGCACCAAUAUCGGUGUCAAAACCGGCGGAUCUCGGGUAGGGGGUCCCGAACUGUGCGUCUAGGCGGAUGGUAACAGGAGACAAGGGACACGAUGUUUUUACCCAGGUUCGGGCCCUCUCGAUGGAGGUAAAACUCUACUCCUGCUUGAUUAAUAUUGAUGAUAUGGGUAGUACAAGAGUAGAUCUACCAUGAGAUCGGAGUGGCUAAACCCAGAAGCUAGCCUAUGGUAUGAUUGUUGUUCGUCCUACGGACUAAAACUCUCCGGUUUAUAUAGACACCGGAGAGGGCUAGGGUUACACAGAGUCGGUUACAAUAGGAGGAGAUCUUCAUAUCGUAUCACCAAGCUUGCCUUCCACGCCAAGGGAAGUCCCAUCCGGACACGGGACGGAGUCUUCAAUCUUGUAUCUUCAUAGACCAGGAGUCCGGCCAAAGGUCUUAGUCUGGCCAUCCGGACACCCCCUAAUCCAGGACUCCCUCAGCCGCCCUGGAAGGUGGCGGCGGGUGAUGCUCAGGCUUCCCGCUACGGCAUGGCGUGGUGCUGUCCCUAUCCAAGGCGGAUCUGCAUCGCUGAUCUCAUGGUUUUGCCGCGGAUUGGUUCAGAUCAGAGACGGUGAUGGGCGUGCGGGAUCGAUCUUGGUGGCUCUCGCAGUUUGGCGAGGUGGAGCGGCGAGGUGGAGCGGGAGUUCUCCUCCCAGGCUCCAGUGGUGGCGCAUCCAGGCAGUGGCCGGUGUGCCAGGGCUCCUACGGUGGCACUACUAUUGAGGUUGGUCGCUGGAUCUAGGCGGCUAGAUCUAGGGCUUUGAAGGCGGUCGAGACAGUGCACAGGUUGUCGGUGGAUGUCUUGGGACAAAUCCGAGUGAAAACUUGGUCUUCGGUCGUUGGCCGGAGCCGGUGAUGACGAUGCCCUUAUCAUCGUUUCCUUCAUGAAGGCAUCAUCGAGGUACAAAUCCCAAACCCACCCAAUACCUCUAGGGGAAACCCUAAAUCAGUUGAUCGGAUGACGGCGGCAUUCAUGUGUCGUUACCCCCUUGGGGGCGGCAUUCUUGGAGAUGCACUCGGACUCGAGGGACCAGCGGAUGGCUUCUUCGGUGGAGCGGUGUUUCUUUCUAAAUAUUCAUGGCGGCGGCUCUUGGCGGCAUGGAGCAGCGGAGGCUUGGCGUCAGAUGUGUGGUGAUGGACACGCGCAGGAGGUCGACGCUGUCUGGCAUCAUGGUGGCGUUGUCGGCAGCUAGACCGGGCAAGGUCGAUGCAACAGUACAACUCUGAUGAUGGAUUGGGUGUAGGUAGCUGCGGCGCCCUCAUACCCGGCAGGUGUCCUGGUCGAGGAGCACGCCGGACUGGUGGGUGCCCAUACCCGACAGACGUCCUGGUUGAGACCUCAAGUCUUAGAUGUUAGGUUUGGCUGUGAGGUCUGUUUGGUAUUAGGCCCAGACUAUCAGUGCCGCUUCAUCAACUGGAUAGGAGUAGCGACAGAUGUUGCUUAGACGGUGGCUUUGGUCUUACUAUUGUACGACUUUUUAAGGUCUUGUGUUAAUAAUUAAUAAUAUGGCCGUAUGCAUCUUCCAGAUACAGAGGCCGGGGGUAUUCCUCAUUUUCUAAAAAAAAUUAAAAAAAUACAAAUCGAGAGGUGAAAAGUCCAAUUCACUCUAGUUUUUUCCUUUAGAUAAAUGGGCAUCCAACUCAACUCUUCAUUAGGGAAAUCAAGUAUGGUAGUUGGCUCAGGUUUGACAACUUAUCAUGGAUGGAUUAAUGUAAAAAAAUUGGACGGAAAUAUCCAACAGCUGAAAAUAUUAAAAAAAAAUUAAGGAUGAAUCACAGGAGAUAUUGUUGCUCUCUUGAAGAUCCCCUUCGUCAGUCCCCACCUUACACUGGAUUCAUGGUGUGACAUGAUUCUCGGGUGUCCAUUUUUGUAUUGGAGCUAUAAAAUCAGCGUAACUUCGCAUAUAAGUAGAUGAUACCUCACGCAUUGCUGCAAUAAUUAGUUGCAAUAUAUGUUAAUGAUAUUUGGUUGUAUCUGACAUGGAGCUUAGGAUUAAUAAACAGAAAGUAAAAAUACAUAUCAUAUAUUGCAUUUUAUUAUUGUACAGCUGAAAAUAUCUAUUGAAUAUAAGUAGCAUAGUGGAAUAGAAAACAUUUCUCAUGCAUCUUGAUGUGGCAUUUAUCGUGAUGUAGGAUGUGUGCAUGUUGAGAGAAAUAGAAAUAGCGGGGUCAAGUAAUAAUGAAAAAAUAAAUCACAUGAUGUUGUGGUCAGCCAUUGAUGAGGUGGCAUGUAUGAAUAUUAAGAUAAUAGAACUAGUGGGGUGCACUAUUUAGAUAUUACACAUGUAAUUAAUAAACCACAAAAAUGUAUUAAUUGGACAAAUGGAUGCAGAAGCAUGUUUUAUGGUUGGUUCUCUAAGUGCAUCUCUAGUCCUUGCCCCCAAAAAUUUGACCGCCAAAGCAGGUUUAUAGGGAAUUUUUCAGGGAGAUUUAUAAGGAGUUAACACCACAUAUUCCUUCCUGUCAAAAGUGUACCCCCUCUAAAAUUUGAAAAGUAAACCUCGGGCCCAACUCAUCGACCUCAAUUUUGAGGAGAUCCUCAAACCCUUCCCAGAAGGAAAAAUUUUGGCAGGUUAAAUUAUUAUUUGCCAACUUCCGCCUCACUUCUCCAAGGCAGCACUAUGGACAUCCUCACUACCUGUCGUGAUCCCACGCACCCCUGCCGACCUCCCCCUCACCUUUCUUUAACUCACGGGUGGCUUCGCUGCAUGGAUAUAGGCACUGAUAGCUCACUCGGGCGCUCUAUCACACAUAUUGAUCCAUUUCGUGUCGGCGGCACAAGUAACACUCCCAUCACGCCCAGGAUGUCCUACUUGCCAAGGAAGACGAGCAUGUCGGCCACACCUCCUCUGCUUCCUCCUCUUGGUCGUCCUCCAGUCCUAUUCCCACCUUCAACAAGGUGGGAAGCGAUGCCGACGUCGUCAGUGUUGGCGACAUAAAUGUUCUUUUCGUACUCCAAGCCGUCGGCGAGUUCAUCCUCGAGGCAGUCCCAGAAUGGAGUAGUGUGCAAUCAGGGGAGGCCAUCGAGAUCAUGGUUAGACUUGCAAUGAAAGGACAAAACCCUAGUGGGGAAAGAUUUCGGUGAUUAAGGGACCCUACUUGUCACUGCACGGGGGAGAAUUCAGGGAGCUAAAGUUUAGAGGAAUGAAUGGGGCACGAAAAGUUACCUCCUACAAAUUGGGGAGUUAAGUUUAGCAGUCCAAACUCGAUGAAAAAUGCUUCAAGUAUACAGCAUGAAAUUCCACCGUGGAAGAGAAUAUCCUGUGAAUGUAAUGUUAUAGUUGGCCCUACUUGUGAGAAAAUAUCAUAUUUGCUGUGACGAUGCAGGUCAAGAUCGAUCGUAGAGACGAAGAAAUACGUACCAAUGAUGCACGUUUUUUUUUCUGUCCUUGCAGGCACCUAUGACCCCAACGGCGUUCCAAUGGAUUGCUCAGAGACGAAUCCAGGACCUGGGUGUUCGCGUCCGCCGUGUGGCCCAUGACAACGGAUAGUUAUGAAAUGUGUCUAGCCUUUUGUGAGAUCGCUCCAAAUUUGACAUCAAGUGCACGCGUUUGUAUCCAGUUCGACAAGAUCUUUAUGUACCCCAUCCAUUUUAAAUGUAAUACAUAUAGUUUUAUUUUAAGUUGUACUCUUUGUAAAGUUUGAAUAAGUUUAUCGAGGAACAUACAACGAAAACAAAAUAACG